This 386-nucleotide ribosomal RNA is filed under the name uncultured Desulfocapsa sp. RNAcentral describes it as "bacterial SSU rRNA". It matches the Rfam family "Bacterial small subunit ribosomal RNA", at positions 999 to 1382 of the family's 1533-position model. Lineage: Bacteria; Pseudomonadati; Thermodesulfobacteriota; Desulfobulbia; Desulfobulbales; Desulfocapsaceae. The record is from RNAcentral.
UUUGGAAACAUAUGAGUGCCUCGCAAGAGGAGCCCGAUGACAGGUGCUGCAUGGCUGUCGUCAGCUCGUGCCGUGAGAUGUUGGGUUAAGUCCCGCAACGAGCGCAACCCUUGUCUUUAGUUGCCAUCAUUAAGUUGGGCACUCUAAAGAGACUGCCGGUGUCAAACCGGAGGAAGGCGGGGAUGACGUCAAGUCCUCAUGGCCUUUAUGUCCAGGGCUACACACGUACUACAAUGGCCGGUACAAAGGGCGGCGAGUCAGCGAUGACAAGCAAAUCCCGAAAAGCCGGUCUCAGUCCGGAUUGGAGUCUGCAACUCGGCUCCAUGAAGUUGGAAUCGCUAGUAAUCGUGGAUCAGCAUGCCACGGUGAAUACGUUCCCGGGCCUU